GAAACAUAGAUUGGAUGUCCGUCAUCAAAGCCACGUUUUCCUCUCUGAAUCUGGUCAAGACCCCAAAGAGGGAAUUAGUAAGGUCGGGACCUUGCAACAGCUGACCAUUCAAGGAGGCUCCUUUGAAUCCUGCUCCACAAUCAAAGACAACUCUCAGGGUUUUUUCUUGGGUGUUAUACGCCGUGAUAAGGGAGAUACCACACACUGCCAUUCUUUCCAUCCAGUUGAUCCUCAGGCACUAUUUCAGCAUAUCCACAGUCAAUCAUAUCAUUCAGGAAUGCUGUGUAUUCCUCCUGGUAGGUUUUGUUCCUUUCAAAUUUCCUUUUGAGAGUUUGAGCACGCUGUUCCACAAUGCACCGGUUGUUAGGCAUGGUGAUGUCAUCCACUUUAAAAGGUAAGUCCAUGUAGUAGUGAUUGUCCUGCAUGGAAGCAGACUUUUCCAAGAGCUCCAUAAAUCUCAGAUCCUCCCUUGACAUCUCCUGCCUCUCCUCCAACACCUUCUCAUUGAAGUCCUGGUUGUAUUGAGAUAUCAACAGCUCCUCCAGCCGGGCAACGGAUAUCCUAUUGACACAAAUGGUUGAGCAGCUUCUCUGGCAACAACCACUAUUGCCCCUCACAGGACCGUUGAUGACCCACCCCAAUAGUGAUGGUGAUUUCAUUUUGCCUUUGCAUAAUCCAACAAAUACCACCCUGAUCUAUUGUAUUGUACACUGAUGAUCCAUUUUGUGCAGGCUGAUGCUUAGGAAUGCGUUCAUGUGAAAUUACUGGCCUGAGAGGUGCAGACUUAAAAUCUGAGACAUUUUGAGAAUGAGGCUGCAGAGAAAUUGCAUGAGACAUCCCUUUAUUUGGUAGCAACUGUGGCUUAAGAGUGAGGUCCUUUGAUAGUGAUGUUCUGAGUUGGUCCUGUAGGUAGGUUUGCAUAUUAACUUUAGGUUGCACAUCACACAUUAGAGCAUGUGGCAGAGUUGGGCCUUGAUCAGCAGCUGUGAUGUUUCCUUUUGGCACAAAUUCAGUUGCUUUUGGGUUGAACUCCUGUUUUGCCACUUUAAGUUCCUUACUCAAAUAAGAAUUCAUGCCAUCCGAACAAAUGGAAACAUCGCUGCCUUCCAGCACAGCGAGCCGUGCAGCAGCAAUGGCUAUUUGUGCAUCCAGCUCCAUUUACUCCUUCCUUUUCUUCAGUUUGAUUGUUUCUUGCCUUAGUUUUUCCUCCUGCUCCUCCAAUUCCUGUCUCCUUCACAGAGCAGCAGCUCUCUCCUCCAAAGCUGCCUUUUCUGCCUUUGCCUUUAAACAUGCAGAUGAGACACCAGAAACAUGUGAUCUGUGAGAGCUGCCCUUCCUGCUAGACCUUUGGGCUUUCACAUUGGACACACUAUCAGAAUGAUCAAUGUCAUCAUCGCACUCAGCUUCCUUAUUUUUCUCACCACCGUCAUGUUCAUUUUUACCAUCCACAGCAUUUUCAACACCUGUUGCAUUUUCAACACGUUCAACUUCAUUUUCCUUCAACCAUGUUGAUACCUUUUCAACAAAAACAUCAUCGUUGGACACUUUUGCAUGAAACCAUGCUUCCUGUCUUUCCUGCUCCUCCUCAGGGAGAGAAAACUCAGUGAGCAAUGUGUUGUGGAGUUCACAGGCCUUUUCACACAGUGUUUUAAAUAUUGUUAGGUUGUGUUGAACAACGGAGACAUUUUCUUUGGAAACCAAGAGAGUUCUGAUUUGCCCCUUUAAUUUGCCGGCUUCUUUAAACUUCCCAUUCCUUUCCUUCUGAACAUUUUCAAGCAUCAUCAUUAGUCCUUUAGCAGUAGGUUUUUAAUUUUUUUUUUCUGUUUCACCAUUCUGGGUUUCCUUCGGCUCAUUUUCAUCAGCAACACUGUGUAAAUCACUCAUUUCAACAGAUGUUUAUUAGUUUGAGACGUGCUUUCAAAGGGAUCAAUGCUGCGUUUUUUUUUUUUUUACAGCUGCGUCCAAACAACAUACUAGAGCCUCCAGUAACAAUGCUUUACUCAUCAACAAUUUCACAUGAAAUUAUUGAAGCCAUCACGUUCAAAAGGCAGUCUCUGCCGCAGCCAACGCUUUUCCGUUUUCAUCAAUAAUCCAGUUACGUACAAACAUACGUGACUUAACAGCUCUAUGCACAAAGCGGACUUUCCGGAGCAAGUGACAGGAACUUUUCCUACCUUUCCACGGAGACAGAUUGAUGAAUGAUUACCAGCCAGAGCCAGGUGAGUUAGCAGCGCUGCAAUCCACAUUUCCAAGUGCUCCAAUUGUCCAGGUGAGAUCGGGUUUUUACUUGUAUAGCGACUAUCCUGGCAACAUUUUAGCCACUCAGCUGGGUGUCGGGCUGGGACAAUGUUUUUGACGCGCUGUGUGUGAUGAAUGGAUGAAGGGAUGAUUGUCCAAUCCGUACUUUUGGGUGAGGUUCCCAUUUAUUUUCAACAUUACAAAAGACAGGUUAUUUUAGCGAUGUAGUGGUGAGGUGUUAGGCUACAGACUGUGAUUGUACUGAAGUGAAGUGAAGCCGAACGGAGAGCUGUGGACCGGCGUAGCGUGCAGUAAAAACUGUGUAGUCUUCCCGCCACCCAUGCCUCCUGACUGCCAACACACCUGUGUCUUAAUUACUUCCUCCAUUACCAGACACCAACAAUCACACUAGCCAACACCGCCACCCAGUGACCACUUAAACUAACAACCAGACAGAAAAUAGACAAUGGCUCCUAUAAUAGUAAUUGCUACGUUUUUUAUCAUUCCUGUGGACACCACUGGCUUAAAUAAAUUUGUUCACCUGCACUGUCCAGGUCAGAUGUUUUCUGCAUUUGGAAACUACCAUCUUGGAGUAUGCAAGAACAUACUUUCUUCAUACCUGCAAAAAGUAUAAGCUCUUAAUCACAACAGGAUAAACAGGCUGCCUAAAUAAGGGGUUCUGUGAGGGUUUUGAGUUUAUGCAGCAGUUGGGUUUCCUGUGUUCCUCUCCUCCGUGUGUGCUCUCCCUCUCCCUCUCUCUCUGCAGCGCUGGAGGCAUGGCAGGAGGCGGGGCUGGCCCGGACUGAUUGCACGUGUGACAAAAUGGAGGGUUCAAAAAUUAAAUUUUUGUUGCCGAACAACGCCACCUGGGGAGUUUCACCCUAGGAAAUACACCAGACCCUUACAAACUGAAGGUCACACAGAUUCGUUACACCAAAAAUAGGGAGGACGAGAGACGGACUUCCAAAAAGAAUAACACUUUUAUUGAUUAAAACUUUCGUUUUUAAAAGAGCACAAAUAUGAAUAAUAAUCGUCUGAGUGCCAAUAAACAAUAAAUGCAGUAAAGAAACAAAAGCGGGAACAAGGAGACUUGGUAGCAAACAGACUAAAAUAAAAAGGAAAAAUUCAAAACCGAAGAAAACCACUGCAAACCAAAGAAAAUCACGACAAGCCAAAGAAAUGACUACAAACCAAACCACCAUGUGCCGCAGCAA
This 3452-nucleotide long non-coding RNA is filed under the name Xyrichtys novacula (pearly razorfish). Lineage: Eukaryota; Metazoa; Chordata; Actinopteri; Labriformes; Labridae. The record is from RNAcentral.